This 64-nucleotide transfer RNA is filed under the name Cephalochlamys namaquensis. Its description in RNAcentral is "tRNA-Phe". The record is from RNAcentral. Lineage: Eukaryota; Metazoa; Platyhelminthes; Cestoda; Pseudophyllidea; Cephalochlamydidae.
UUUUCUUUAGCUUACAUUUAAAGCGUUAGUUUGAAGCACUGAAGUUAAUUUUUAUUAAGAAGGC